AGCGAACGCUGGCGGCAGGCCUAACACAUGCAAGUCGAACGAACCUUUCGGGGUUAGUGGCGGACGGGUGAGAAACACGUGGGAACGUGCCUUUAGGUUCGGCAUAACUCAGGGAAACUUGUGCUAAUACCGAAUGUGCCCUUCGGGGGAAAGAUUUAUCGCCUUUAGAGCGGCCCGCGUCUGAUUAGCUAGUUGGUUGAGGUAAUGGCUCACCCAGGCGACGAGCAGUAGCUGGUCUGAGAGGAUGAUCAGCCACAUUGGGACUGAGACACGGCCCAAACUCCUACGGGAGGCAGCAGUGGGGAAUCUUGCGCAAUGGGCGAAAGCCUGACGCAGCCAUGCCGCGUGAAUGAUGAAGGUCUUAGGAUUGUAAAAUUCUUUCACCGGGGACGAUAAUGACGGUACCCGGAGAAGAAGCCCCGGCUAACUUCGUG
This 434-nucleotide ribosomal RNA is filed under the name uncultured bacterium. RNAcentral describes it as "partial 16S ribosomal RNA". It matches the Rfam family "Bacterial small subunit ribosomal RNA", at positions 29 to 507 of the family's 1533-position model. The record is from RNAcentral.